Molecule: ribosomal RNA, 245 nt
Filed under: uncultured Eubacteriales bacterium
Lineage: Bacteria; Bacillati; Bacillota; Clostridia; Eubacteriales
Description: uncultured Clostridiales bacterium partial 16S ribosomal RNA
Rfam family: Bacterial small subunit ribosomal RNA
Source: RNAcentral
UACGUAGGGGGCGAGCGUUGUCCGGAAUGACUGGGCGUAAAGGGCGUGUAGGCGGCGAACUAAGUCUGGAGUGAAAGUCCUGCUUUUAAGGUGGGAAUUGCUUUGGAUACUGGAUUGCUUGAGUGCGGAAGAGGUAAGUGGAAUUCCCAGUGUAGCGGUGAAAUGCGUAGAGAUUGGGAGGAACACCAGUGGCGAAGGCGACUUACUGAGCCGUAACUGACGCUGAGGCGCGAAAGCGUGGGGAG